GGGGGGGGGGCAAGCGUUGUUCGGAAUUACUGGGGCGUAAAGGGCGCGCAGGCGGCCUGGCCAGUCCUACGUGAAAUCCCACAGCUCAACUGUGGAACUGCGAGGGAUACUGCCAGGCUUGAGUCCGGGAGAGGAGAGUGGAAUUCCCAGUGUAGCGGUGAAAUGCGUAGAUAUUGGGAGGAACACCGGUGGCGAAGGCGGCUCUCUGGACCGGCACUGACGCUGAGGCGCGAAAGCUAGGGGAGCAAACGGGAUUAGAUACCCCGGUAGUCCUAGCCCUAAACGAUGAGCACUUUGUGUGGCGGGUAUCGACCCCUGCCGUGCAGAAGCUAACGCAUUAAGUGCUCCGCCUGGGGAGUACGGUCGCAAGGCUA
This 374-nucleotide ribosomal RNA is filed under the name uncultured organism. RNAcentral's name for it is "partial 16S ribosomal RNA". It matches the Rfam family "Bacterial small subunit ribosomal RNA", at positions 525 to 896 of the family's 1533-position model. The record is from RNAcentral.